This 477-nucleotide ribosomal RNA is filed under the name Microbacterium sp. 24(2011). Its description in RNAcentral is "bacterial SSU rRNA". It matches the Rfam family "Bacterial small subunit ribosomal RNA", at positions 307 to 796 of the family's 1533-position model. RNAcentral also lists the same sequence under 1 other name. The record is from RNAcentral. Lineage: Bacteria; Bacillati; Actinomycetota; Actinomycetes; Micrococcales; Microbacteriaceae.
GCCACACUGGGACUGAGACACGGCCCAGACUCCUACGGGAGGCAGCAGUGGGGAAUAUUGCACAAUGGGCGCAAGCCUGAUGCAGCAACGCCGCGUGAGGGAUGACGGCCUUCGGGUUGUAAACCUCUUUUAGCAGGGAAGAAGCGAAAGUGACGGUACCUGCAGAAAAAGCGCCGGCUAACUACGUGCCAGCAGCCGCGGUAAUACGUAGGGCGCAAGCGUUAUCCGGAAUUAUUGGGCGUAAAGAGCUCGUAGGCGGUUUGUCGCGUCUGCUGUGAAAUCCGGAGGCUCAACCUCCGGCCUGCAGUGGGUACGGGCAGACUAGAGUGCGGUAGGGGAGAUUGGAAUUCCUGGUGUAGCGGUGGAAUGCGCAGAUAUCAGGAGGAACACCGAUGGCGAAGGCAGAUCUCUGGGCCGUAACUGACGCUGAGGAGCGAAAGGGUGGGGAGCAAACAGGCUUAGAUACCCUGGUAGUCC